Molecule: ribosomal RNA, 442 nt
Filed under: uncultured bacterium
Lineage: Bacteria
Description: partial 16S ribosomal RNA
Rfam family: Bacterial small subunit ribosomal RNA
Source: RNAcentral
CCUACGGGUGGCAGCAGUAGGGAAUCUUUCACAAUGGGCGAAAGCCUGAUGGAGCAACGCCGCGUGCAGGAUGAAGGCCUUCGGGUUGUAAACUGCUUUUAUAAGCGAGAAAUAUGAUGGUAACUUAUGAAUAAGGAUCGGCUAACUACGUGCCAGCAGCCGCGGUCAUACGUAGGAUCCGAGCAUUAUCAGGAGUGAAUGGGUGGAAAGCGGUGCGUAGGUGGCAUAAUAAGUAGCUAGUGAAAUCUGGUGGCUCAACAAUUCAGACUAGUAGUUAAACUGUUAAGCUCGAGACCGUUAGGGGUAAAUGGAAUUUCUAGUGUAGGAGUGAAAUCCGUAGAUAUUAGAAGGAACACCAAUAGCGUAGGCAGGUUGCUGGGACGGUUCUGACACUAAGGCACGAAAGCGUAGGGAGCAAACGGGAUUAGAUACCCUUGUAGUC